This 292-nucleotide ribosomal RNA is filed under the name uncultured bacterium. RNAcentral's name for it is "partial 16S ribosomal RNA". It matches the Rfam family "Bacterial small subunit ribosomal RNA", at positions 505 to 796 of the family's 1533-position model. The record is from RNAcentral.
GUGUCAGCAGCCGCGGUAAUACGAAGGGGGCUAGCGUUGCUCGGAAUUACUGGGCGUAAAGGGAGCGUAGGCGGACAUUUAAGUCAGGGGUGAAAUCCCAGAGCUCAACUCUGGAACUGCCUUUGAUACUGGGUGUCUUGAGUGUGAUAGAGGUAUGUGGAACUCCGAGUGUAGAGGUGAAAUUCGUAGAUAUUCGGAAGAACACCAGUGGCGAAGGCGACAUACUGGAUCAUUACUGACGCUGAGGCUCGAAAGCGUGGGGAGCAAACAGGAUUAGAUACCCUGGUAGUCC